CCUGGCUAGUCCUUGUAGACCUUCUCUGAAUGUUUUGGUGAAUAAAUCUGUUCUUCAGCAACCCUACCUGCUUCUCCAAACUGCCUAAAGAGAUCCAGUACUGAUGACGCUGUUCUUCCAUCUUUACUCCCUGGAAACUAACCACGUUGUCUUCUUUCCUUCACCACCACCCAGGAGCUCAGAGAUCUAAGCUGCUUUCCAUCUUUUCUCCCAGCCCCAGGACACUGACUCUGUACAGGAUGGGGCCGUCCUCUUGCCUCCUUCUCAUCCUAAUCCCCCUUCUCCAGCUGAUCAACCCGGGGAGUACUCAGUGUUCCUUAGACUCCGUUAUGGAUAAGAAGAUCAAGGAUGUUCUCAACAGUCUAGGUAACUGACUGGGGUAGGGGAAGCGGGGGGUUGACCCUUGCUCAUUUCUCCUGUUCUUAAACUCUAGCUUUGUCUCUAUCCCAUCCCAAGAUCCCAACCAAGCCCAACCCCUGAUGAGGGCUUUCUACACUACCCUACCCGUGUUUGAAGUCUUGGCUAAAAGCUGAGGUUUUCCUGAUGAGGAGGAAGAGGUGGAGGAGAAUGGUAGCUGUAAUUUAUGAACACUCAUUAUGAACCAGGUAUAAUCCAAGUUUUACGUAGAUUAUUUCAUUUAAUUCCCACAACCAUUUUAUGAGGUAAGGACAACUAUUACUUCUGCUUUAAAAAUGAGGAAACUAACCUUAAAAGCUGAUGAGUAGGCUGAUUCUGGACACAGUGUCACCUCCAAGGUAGAAGACAAUUUGGAAGGGGAUAAGGGGAUUAUGGGGAGGAUAGCUCAUGGGAUGUACCCUUUCUUCUUUCCUACUCAGAGUACAGUCCCUCUCCUAUAAGCAAGAAGCUCUCGUGUGCUAGUGUCAAAAGCCAAGGCAGACCGUCCUCCUGCCCUGCUGAAUGCAAUCCCUCAGGCUGCCCAAAACAUCUCUCCUGAACCAACAUCACUAAUGAAAGCAACCUGUCCUCCUGCCCCUCAGGAUGUUACCUCCAUGUCACGUGUUCCAACUUCUGCUUGAAGGGGAGGCCUUAGGGAGAACCAUAAGAACUGAAAUCAGCUUUCCACCCUCACCACCAUCAUCUCAUUCUUCAACAAAUAUAGGGCCACACUGUUCCAGGAUCUGUUUGUUCUCAGCACUAGAGGUACAGAAAAGUAAAACUGUACACAUGCUCUGUGCAUGGUCACCAUCUAUAGCAUUCCCUAAACAUCAAGGCACAUAUGCUUUGUCUUGGCUUGGGAGCAACCUGGAUGAUCUAGUCAUCACUUCUCUGAUCACCAGUCACUACUUUAAAAUAUAGGUUCCAUGAUUAUUUAGGUGUGGCAAGGCCAACAGAUCAGGAAAUGACUGCCAUGGAAAAGAGGAUUAUACUCACAGAUUCCAAGAGAAGGCGGCAUGCCAGAAUCUGGAACCGGAUCCUCUAAUGAUGUCAUAAGACCUGAGCUGUAUUCACCUAGGAAUCAUGUUGUAAAAUACUCAAGAAAGCACAGGCUGGAAUGCAGUGGAAUGAUUAUAGAUCAAUGCAGCCUCAAACUCCUGAGCUCAAGCAAUCCUCCUGCCUCAGCUUCCCAAGUAGCUGGGACUACAGAUGCGUGCUCCCACACUUGUGUGAUGGUUAAUAUUGAGUGCCAACUUGGUUGGACUGAAGGAUGCAAAGUAUUGUUCCUGGGUGUGUCUGUGAGGGUGUUGCCGAAGGAGAUUAACAUUUGAGACAGUGGGCUGGGAAAAGCAGAACCACCCUCAAUCUGGGUGGGCACCAUCUAAUCAGCUGCCUGCACAGCCAGAAUAAAAGCAGGCAGAAGAACGUGGAAAAACUAGACUGGCUGAGUCUUCUGGCCUCCAUCUUUCUCCCAUGCCGGACACUUCCUGCCCUCGAACAUCGGACCUCAAGUUCUUCAGCUUUGGGACUCUUGGACCUUCAACCACAGACUGAAGGCUGCACUGACGGCUUCCCUACUUUUCAGGUUUUGGGACUCGGACUAGCUUCCUUGCUCCUCAGCUUGCAGAUGGUCUGCUGUGGGACUUUGCCUUGUAAUCAUGUGAGUCAAUACUCCUUUAUAGACUCCCCUUUAUAUAUACAUCUAUCCUGUUAAUUUUGUCCCUCUAGAGGACGCUCACUAAUACACUUGGCUAUUUUUUAUUUUUAUAGAGAAGAAGUAUCACUAGGUUGCCCAGGCUGGUCUCAAACUCCUGACCCCAAGCAAUCCUCCCAAAAACCCAAAAGGUUUUUACUUUUUUUUUUUUUUUUUUUGAGACGGAGUCUCGCUCUGUCGCCCAGGCUGGAGUGCAGUGGCGCCAUCUUGGCUCACUGCAAGCUCCGCCUUCCGGGUUCACGCCAUUCUCCUGCCUCAGCCUCCCGAGCAGCUGGGACUACAGGCGUCCGCCAACACGCCCGGCUAAUUUUUUGUAUUUUUAAGUAGAGACGGGGUUUCACCGUGUUAGCCAGAAUGGUCUCGAUCUCCUGACCUUGUGAUCCGCCCGCCUCAGCCUCCCAAAGUGCUGGGAUUACAGGCGGGAGCCACCGUGCCUGGCCUAGAACAAAGGAAAUUUUUAAGAAAUCUAUACACUGUUUAGCAAUCUUUGCUAAUUUGUUAUUCAUGGAUAAAGGUUGGGGAGGUUGUGCAUUCCAGAAAGGAAAGAGAAAAAAAAUUAAAGUAAGGCCAAAAUGUGUGUAUGUGUAUGUGUAUGUGUGUGUGCAUUUAGUUCUCCUUACUUUGUAUUCAAAUGUUGAGUACACCCCACAUAAGCUUUGGAUGCUGCCCUUUAGAUACCUAAAAUAGCAUAGGCUGUCCUCUCUUUACACUAGAAUAGUGGUUCUCAACCAGAAAACUUGGAAAUAUCUGGAAACAUUUUUGGUUGUCACACCUGGCAGAGGCAAAGUGAUAUUGGCAUCUAGUUGGGAAUAGACCACAAAUGUCAAGAAACUUCAUGCAAUGCACAGGUAAAACCCCCACUGCCAACAAAGAAUUGCCUUGCAUGAACUGUCAAUAGGGCCAAGGGUUAAGAAAUCCUUCCCUAGAAUGUGUGCUUCUAUCAUCAGACAUCUCACUCAAAAGGAAUACUAUCCUUCUAGAGACCUCCAUUCUGAAGCUAACAUAUAAGUGUCUACACUCCCUAAUUCUCACAAAGGUUGCUUGUAACCUAAAUCAAGGCACAAUGGUAAUAGGGAAUCCCAACAUUUUCCCAAUAGCUGAUGUUAACACUUCUGCAUUACAUACUAACAAUCAGAAGCAUAUUUCUUACACAUGCUUAAAUUGGCCAGUGAAUAAGUAUCCGAAAGCUAUUUUGAGGGGCAGAUUUCCAAUUCUGCAGAAACCAUAAAACUGGCCCCAACAGGAAGAGAUUUGAGCCACCAGUGAAUUGUGUUUUAUAGGGCUGUAUGCCAACUGCUUUUAUUCACUUGUGU
Molecule: long non-coding RNA, 3423 nt
Filed under: Homo sapiens (human)
Lineage: Eukaryota; Metazoa; Chordata; Mammalia; Primates; Hominidae
Description: HSALNT0313725
Source: RNAcentral